Long non-coding RNA from Ipomoea nil (Japanese morning glory), 93 nucleotides. RefSeq lists it as uncharacterized. The transcript is spliced from 3 exons. NCBI's taxonomy places the organism in Eukaryota, Viridiplantae, Streptophyta, Magnoliopsida, Solanales, Convolvulaceae. The record is from RefSeq and is a predicted model, not a curated record.
UUAGGGCUUAAGUUUGUGAAAGAUAAAUCUGCCAAACUAAAGCAAGCAAGUGAAACAGAUCAUCGCGUUGAACUCAGUUUCAGGUGGUUGGCU